CUGGAGCUGGCACAAGUCCUGUAGCAAUUACUACAAUCACACUGUCACUUUUGCUACAUUGACCUCUCCUGAUUGAAAAGAGAAAGCAGCAAGAAUAAGGAAGGAAAGGAAGAAGGAGAAGUAACUUGCUCAAAUGUGCCUCGUGCGGGGGCUGGGGCUUGGGGAGUUGGUGUGGAGGAUCUAAUAUCUACUCCAGUGGCAGCCGGAGGAGCAGCAAAGGGAGGCAGAGACCCACAGCCAGACAUGCCCAUCUCAGCAGGCCGGUGGCUUGUUCUCCUCAGCCUUUUCACCACUGACAAACAGUUAUCACUACAGAUUGCUCUACCAUGUGAAAGUGAACAGUAUUAUGAAUAUGCUGGAAGAUGCUGCAGAAGGUGUGAGCCAG
This 385-nucleotide long non-coding RNA is filed under the name Crocodylus porosus (Australian saltwater crocodile). RNAcentral's name for it is "lncRNA (ENSCPRG00005017418.1)". Lineage: Eukaryota; Metazoa; Chordata; Crocodylia; Crocodylidae. The record is from RNAcentral.